UACGUAGGGUGCGAGCGUUAAUCGGAAUUACUGGGCGUAAAGCGUGCGCAGGCGGUUUUGUAAGCCAGAUGUGAAAUCCCCGGGCUUAACCUGGGAAUGGCAUUUGGGACUGCAAGGCUUGAGUGCGGCAGAGGAGACUGGAAUUCCUGGUGUAGCAGUGAAAUGCGUAGAUAUCAGGAGGAACACCGAUGGCGAAGGCAGGUCUCUGGGCUGACACUGACGCUCAUGCACGAAAGCGUGGGGAGCGAAACAA
RNAcentral lists this ribosomal RNA (253 nucleotides) under uncultured bacterium. Its description in RNAcentral is "partial 16S ribosomal RNA". It matches the Rfam family "Bacterial small subunit ribosomal RNA", at positions 524 to 776 of the family's 1533-position model. The record is from RNAcentral.